RNAcentral lists this ribosomal RNA (391 nucleotides) under uncultured bacterium. RNAcentral's name for it is "bacterial SSU rRNA". It matches the Rfam family "Bacterial small subunit ribosomal RNA", at positions 29 to 413 of the family's 1533-position model. The record is from RNAcentral.
AAUGAACGCUGGCGGCGCGCCUAAUACAUGCAAGUCGAGCGAGAAGACGUAGCAAUACGUUUGUAAAGCGGCGAACGGGUGAGGAAUACAUGGGUAACCUACCCUCGAGUGGGGAAUAACUAGCCGAAGGUUAGCUAAUACCGCGUACGCUUCUUGGACUUCGGUUCAGGGAGGAAAGCGAUGCCGAGGGUAUCGCGCUCUUGGAUGGGCUCAUGUCCUAUCAGCUUGNGGUGAGGUAACGGCUCACCAAGGCUUCGACGGGUAGCUGGUCUGAGAGGACGAUCAGCCACACUGGCACUGCGACACGGGCCAGACUCCUACGGGAGGCAGCAGUAAGGAUAUUGCGCAAUGGGCGAAAGCCUGACGCAGCGACGCCGCGUGGGGGAGUGAA